CCGAAUACCUAUGAGUACUAUCCGGGAGACAGACUGCGGGUGCUAACGUCCGUAGUCAAGAGGAAAACAAUCCAGACCGCCAGCUAAGGCCCCAAAAUCAUAGUUAAGUGGGAAACGAUGUGGGAAGGCAUAGACAGCUAGGAGGUUGGCUUAGAAGCAGCCACCCUUUAAAGAAAGCGUAAUAGCUCACUAGUCGAGUCGGCCUGCGCGGAAGAUGUAACGGGGCUAAAACUAUGUGCCGAAGCUGCGGAUGUAUACUUUGUAUACGUGGUAGGGGAGCGUUCUGUAAGCCGAUGAAGGUGUGUUGAGAAGCAUGCUGGAGGUAUCAGAAGUGCGAAUGCUGACGUGAGUAACGACAAAACGGGUGAAAAACCCGUUCGCCGAAAGACCAAGGGUUCCAGUCCAACGUUAAUCGGGGCUGGGUGAGUCGACCCCUAAGGCGAGGCCGAAAGGCGUAGUCGAUGGGAAAAUGGUUAAUAUUCCAUUACUUCUGUGUAAUGCGAUGAGAGGACGGAGAAGGCUAAAUCAGCCUGGCGUUGGUUGUCCAGGUGAAAGGAUGUAGGCAUGUAUCUUAGGCAAAUCCGGGGUACUCUAUGCUGAGAUCUGAUAGCAAGCUGUACUUGUACAGCGAAGUGGUUGAUGCCAUGCUUCCAGGAAAAGUCUCUAAGCUUCAGUUACACAGGAAUCGUACCCGAAACCGACACAGGUGGUCAGGUCGAGUAGACCAAGGCGCUUGAGAGAACUCUGCUGAAGGAACUAGGCAAAAUGGUACCGUAACUUCGGGAGAAGGUACGCUGUUGUUGGUGAUGGAACUCGCUUCCUGAGCUGACGACAGCCGCAGAAACCAGGCCGCUGCAACUGUUUAUUAAAAACAUAGCACUCUGCAAACACGAAAGUGGACGUAUAGGGUGUGAUGCCUGCCCGGUGCUGGAAGGUUAAUUGAUGGGGUUAGCGUAAGCGAAGCUCUUGAUCGAAGCCCCAGUAAACGGCGGCCGUAACUAUAACGGUCCUAAGGUAGCGAAAUUCCUUGUCGGGUAAGUUCCGACCUGCACGAAUGGCAUAAUGAUGGCGGCGCUGUCUCCAGCAGAGGCUCAGUGAAAUCGAAAUCGCUGUGAAGAUGCAGUGUACCCGCGGCUAGACGGAAAGACCCCGUGAACCUUUACUGCAGCUUGACACUGAACUUUGACCUUACUUGUGUAGGAUAGGUGGGAGGCUUUGAAGCUGGAACGCUAGUUCCAGUGGAGCCGUCCUUGAAAUACCACCCUGGUAAUGUUGAGGUUCUAACUCUGUCCCGUGAUCCGGGACGAGGACCGUGUCUGGUGGGUAGUUUGACUGGGGCGGUCUCCUCCUAAAGAGUAACGGAGGAGUACGAAGGUGCGCUCAGCGUGGUCGGAAAUCACGCGUAGAGUAUAAAGGCAAAAGCGCGCUUAACUGCGAGACCCACAAGUCGAGCAGGUACGAAAGUAGGUCUUAGUGAUCCGGUGGUUCUGUAUGGAAGGGCCAUCGCUCAACGGAUAAAAGGUACUCUGGGGAUAACAGGCUGAUACCGCCCAAGAGUUCAUAUCGACGGCGGUGUUUGGCACCUCGAUGUCGGCUCAUCUCAUCCUGGGGCUGAAGCAGGUCCCAAGGGUAUGGCUGUUCGCCAUUUAAAGAGGUACGCGAGCUGGGUUUAGAACGUCGUGAGACAGUUCGGUCCCUAUCUACCGUGGGCGCUGGAAAUUUGAGAGGAUCUGCUCCUAGUACGAGAGGACCAGAGUGGACGAACCUCUGGUGUACCGGUUGUGACGCCAGUCGCAUCGCCGGGUAGCUAUGUUCGGAAGGGAUAACCGCUGAAAGCAUCUAAGCGGGAAGCCUACCUCAAGAUAAGAUUUCCCUAGGACUUUAUGUCCUCUAAAGAGCCGUUCGAGACUAGGACGUUGAUAGGUUGGAUGUGGAAGCAUAGUGAUAUGUGAAGCUGACCAAUACUAAUUGCUCGUGAGGCUUGACUAU
RNAcentral lists this ribosomal RNA (1989 nucleotides) under Acinetobacter baumannii. RNAcentral's name for it is "partial 23S ribosomal RNA". It matches the Rfam family "Bacterial large subunit ribosomal RNA", at positions 956 to 2925 of the family's 2925-position model. The record is from RNAcentral. Lineage: Bacteria; Pseudomonadati; Pseudomonadota; Gammaproteobacteria; Moraxellales; Moraxellaceae.